Molecule: ribosomal RNA, 495 nt
Filed under: uncultured bacterium
Lineage: Bacteria
Description: partial 16S ribosomal RNA
Rfam family: Bacterial small subunit ribosomal RNA
Source: RNAcentral
GACGAACGCUGGCGGCGUGCCUAAUACAUGCAAGUAGAACGCUGAAGGAGGAGCUUGCUUCUCUGGAUGAGUUGCGAACGGGUGAGUAACGCGUAGGUAACCUGCCUGGUAGCGGGGGAUAACUAUUGGAAACGAUAGCUAAUACCGCAUAAGAGUAGAUGUCGCAUGACAUUUGCUUAAAAGGUGCAACUGCAUCACUACCAGAUGGACCUGCGUUGUAUUAGCUAGUUGGUGAGGUAACGGCUCACCAAGGCAACGAUACAUAGCCGACCUGAGAGGGUGAUCGGCCACACUGGGACUGAGACACGGCCCAGACUCCUACGGGAGGCAGCAGUAGGGAAUCUUCGGCAAUGGACGGAAGUCUGACCGAGCAACGCCGCGUGAGUGAAGAAGGUUUUCGGAUCGUAAAGCUCUGUUGUAGGAGAAGAACGAGUGUGAGAGUGGAAAGUUCACACUGUGACGGUAUCUUACCAGAAAGGGACGGCUAACUACGUG